GUGUAUAAAAGGAGCGAUGGUUAGUCCUCCCCUUGAAUUGGCCAUGGGACCUGCAACACACAUACGGUUAAGACAUAGCCACCUACCUUGGGGCAUCCCUAACCAAGCUUUCUG
Oryzias melastigma (Indian medaka) is the source of this 114-nucleotide small nuclear RNA. NCBI's taxonomy places the organism in Eukaryota, Metazoa, Chordata, Actinopteri, Beloniformes, Adrianichthyidae. The record is from Ensembl.